AACGAACGCUGGCGGCACGCCUAACACAUGCAAGUCGAACGCCCCGCAAGGGGAGUGGCAGACGGGUGAGUAACGCGUGGGAAUCUCCCUUAUGGUACGGAAUAGCCCCGGGAAACUUGGAGUAAUACCGUAUAAGCUCGAAAGAGGAAAGAUUUAUCGCCAUAAGAUGAGCCCGCGUUGGAUUAGCUAGUUGGUGAGGUAACGGCUCACCAGGGCGACGAUCCAUAGCUGGUCUGAGAGGAUGAUCAGCCACACUGGGACUGAGACACGGCCCAGACUCCUACGGGAGGCAGCAGUGGGGAAUAUUGGACAAUGGGCGCAAGCCUGAUCCAGCCAUGCCGCGUGAGUGACGAAGGUCUUCGGAUUGUAAAGCUCUUUUGGCGGGGACGAUAAUGACGGUACCCGCAGAAUAAGCCCCGGCUAACUUCGUGCCAGCAGCCGCAGUAA
This 447-nucleotide ribosomal RNA is filed under the name uncultured bacterium. RNAcentral's name for it is "partial 16S ribosomal RNA". It matches the Rfam family "Bacterial small subunit ribosomal RNA", at positions 29 to 523 of the family's 1533-position model. The record is from RNAcentral.